UGAAACAUGAUGGAAAAUGAGAGGGAAAAAGAGAAUUGAUAUGUCAUGAAUUAAAACAUGAAUAUUGGUUUGAGAGAAGAAAAAUUAGAAAAUAUAAAAAAAUUACUAAAUACACAAUAUUCAUUUAAGAUAUGGGCUUAACCAAGUUGGCUAGAUUGCAGAUGUUCUAGCUUCCCAUUCUGCACUCUAGUUCGAAUCCCCCUUUUCAUAAUUUAAAUUAAAUUAAAAUAAAAUGUCGUUUGUAUAUAAAAAAAAAAAAAACAACAUGCAUCUAAACCUUGAUGCAUUUGUUGGUGCCUAAUUAUUGAGGAUAGAAAAAGC
Molecule: long non-coding RNA, 321 nt
Filed under: Prunus persica (peach)
Lineage: Eukaryota; Viridiplantae; Streptophyta; Magnoliopsida; Rosales; Rosaceae
Description: long non-coding RNA (PPER_LNC000407)
Source: RNAcentral